GUGAAGAUGGCGCUGUCCAGGGUGUGCUGGGCUCGGGCUGCUCUGUGGGGUUCGACUGUCGCCCCUGGACCCUUUGUCACCCGGAGGCUGCAGCUGGGCCGCUCUGGCCCUGCGUGGCGAGCCCCUCGGUGAGGGCCCUGGAGAAAGAAGAGCAUUUUUGAUGUAGAAGCCCUUCCAGCGGCUCAGCCUCCGCCUCUCGGGAUCCCCUGCCUUGGGCCCUGGGUUUUGCUUUUCCAUGCAGGAUUCCCACCGAACGCCCGUCCCUGUCCCUCUCCGUACUCCGUGUCCACCCGAUUGUCCCCGCACAUCCUGAGCUCAUCUUUCAGCUUCCCCUUCCCAUCUCUCCAUGGCUUCAGCUUGCAUUCUCCUGGCCCCGCAGGCUUUGCGCACGCUCCACGCUCACACCUUUCUGCAUGAUCUGCCCCUCUCAUACCAACCCUAACCCUGAGCUUGGGUUUUCAGAAGAGUUCUGGCAAUCGCUCUCAGAAACCGUAUGUUUACCGAGGGGUCCUACGUACCGAAUGGCUUCUACUCCUUCGCAGAUAGUCUCUUUGGUCUUCGUUGUAGGUCUUCAAAGCUUCACCUUUCUCCGAAGGCGGACGUGAAGAACUUGAUUUCUUACGUGGUGACCAAGACAAGAGCGAUUAACGGAUCGUACCAUCGUUUCUUGGGGCGUCAUUUCCCCCGCUUCUAUGCCUUAUACACAACCUUCAUGAAAGGUAAACGCUAACAUUGAGAAGCCCGAAUCUGCUCUUCUGCGUUAGUCACAGUCAGUGAGAUUGCAAUGUGCCGGGUCCGCUGCUGCGCUGUGAGUUGGGAUGUCUUCUCUUCCGUCAGGGUUUGAGCAUGAAUUCUUACAAAUUGUCACUGCCACCUCUUAAAUAUCCAGAUGGAUGUUAUGGUAGACAAAUCCUGACAUCACUCGAGAGAGAGCAGAAGAUGUAAAUAUAUUCUCAUUUCCUUAGAAAUUCCUUGUCCUGCUCAGUGCAGACCAGACCCAGGGAUUGUUAUCAUAAGGAAACCAGAUUAAAUGCUUUGUUUUAAACUCCUUAACACCAGGGCGUCAUGGUCGAUUAACCCUGAGAGCUCCCCAGCCAGGUAGUAACUCGCUGCUUCGUGGGGCGUGUUUAUCACGUGGCCAGCUUAGAUAACUUGUAGUGGAAAUAGAACUGUAGACACUUGGUUUCUGAAUGCUUCCACUCAAAGUGGAGGUCCGCUAGCUAUGUUGAGAUGAUACCUAUAAUGUCACAUGACAGCCCUGGAACCAAAAUGCCGGAUUCAAAUCCCAUUUGUGACUUAGACUGUGCACUGGCGCUAGUGACACUUACAGGGUCUUUGGUGUCUCAUCUGUAAGGAGGUACUAGAACCUACCUGCUGAUUACCUAGUUAUGAUUAUUAUUUAGUCAUCUAGGAAGAGUGUAGCUCGGGCUGGCCUGGGGCUUUCUGUGUAGUGGAGGAUGACCUUGAAUUUCUGGUCUCUCUGCCUGCUGGGAUGGUAAUGCUGAGUGAGCCACCACACCUAAUGGUGAAGAGUAGAUCAACAUAUUUAAAAGGCUUAGAACAUGGCCUCAUUUAUUUUAGUAUGACAGCUCUAUACCAAGUGUCCAAUAUGUGUUAACUUUUUCUAUUGUUGUAUUCUAUACUUUUAUCCACUAAUAAAAAAAAAUAGAACGUUGCCAACUCUGAAUCUUACUCUAAUCAUUAGCGUCAUGGAGUUUAUCUAAGAAGUGGAGGUAACAAUGGCUGCCUUGUUAGCCACGGGGGUUCUGUGUCUUACAGCCCCACAACCCAGCAUCCCAAGGCAGGAGAAUCAGGAGGUCUAGGCCAGCCUCAGCUACACAGCAAGGCUGUAACAACAAAAACAACAAACCCCCUCGAAACAAAAUACUUAACGACCACCAAUCAUAGACACAUAUAUGCCUUGUGUUAUUUGAAGCCAACCUAGAUAACAUUUUGGAAGCAUUAGAAGUGAUUUUAUUCAUUUUAUUUGUGUGACUGUCUUGCCUACAUGCGUAUCCGUGUGCUGUGUGCAUGCCUAGUGCUCUCUGAGGUCAGAAAGCAUUAGAUGCCCUCGAGCAUGUGUUCUGGAUAGUUGCGAACCACCAUGUGGGUGCUGGGAACCGAACCUAGGUCCUAGGUGACUGCAAGAGCAGUAAAUGUUUAAACCUGAGUCAUCAUCUCUCCAGCCCUGGAAAUAGGUUUUUUUUUUUUUUAAAAAACUAGAAAAACAAGGAUUAUCAUAGAUGGAAGAUUCAGAAUGGAAUCAUAGCAAUAUAUCAAAUCAUGCAGCUUAUAAACAUGCCCCAGAAAGCAGCAAGUUAGUAUCUAGCUGGGAUGCACAUAGCUCAAGUUUAAAGCCAAGCAAUGAGUAAUUCAGCUGGGUUAUGUGCUAGGGGAAAGGAUGGGGGGGGCGGGUCUGCGAGGCACAAGCUUCCUUGUCGGUAGAGCCGGGGAGGGGCCGGUGUGUGUGCAUGUGAGUGACCACGGUAGGCGAUUCAAACCGGGAUAACACCACGUUCUGUCCUCCACUUUAAUGGGGCAGGAAUACAGAUGUUAUGGGCUGAUGGCAAAAAGGCUAGAAGAAUAAAGGCAGACAUGUGGAAACAAAACCUAAAGUUUCAUCAACUCUCUUACCGGGAGAUGGAGCAUUUGAGACAGGUACGGGCCGGGGACAAACACCCAGAAGCUCUCAGCGAGGUAACUGCGGAGAGCUCAGCUCGGCUUCCUUCCUUUCCUGUUGCUCACUGGUCAGACAUUCCCCUUUGCCACGAGGGCGUCCAGUUGUUUUUGUCAGAACUGGGCUCGCUGAGAAUGAAGCCCGCAGCAGGGCUAUAGAGAAUCCCAGGCGCACACUCUGAUUAAAUCUGUAAUU
This 2872-nucleotide long non-coding RNA is filed under the name Mus musculus (house mouse). RNAcentral's name for it is "long non-coding RNA chr15:100469117-100471989". Lineage: Eukaryota; Metazoa; Chordata; Mammalia; Rodentia; Muridae. The record is from RNAcentral.